CCACCCCAGCGGCCGCCCGCCCGGCCCGCAGCCCGCCGUGCACCUCUCUCCCUCCGCUCCAGGUAGUCGGCCGCCUCCAGCAGCAGCUGGAUGUUCAUCCCGACGGCUGUCGCCAUCCUGCACCCGGCGGGCCACCUCUCCGUGCCCGCGGGCCGCUGGCCGGGAACGCCGAAAAGCCGCCGCGCUGGCCAGCCAGGAGGGGCAGCGCUGGGACGGCACGGAGCCCGGAUCCCAGCAGCGGCCGCUGAGUGUUUAUCCCGACUCGCCGCCGCCCGCCCCCGGUCCCGUCCCUUGACAGGCCCGCGGCGGCGGUGCCCCUCAUUGGGUCGCCCGCAGCACAGCCCGCCUCCAGACCGCCGCAAUUGGUAUCACUGAGACCAGGAGUGUGCGGUCUUUGCUGUGGGUGGAGAGUAGAGACGCAGCAAGAGCAGAAAGAGGGGACCCAUCUGGAGCUUCUGCAGUAGUCCAGGAAGGAAGAACCGAGAUCCUGUUUGGAGGUGGAUUAAAUACAAAAUAUAAAAUACUCUCUGACCCAGAUGAAGGGGAAUCCUCCAACACCUCAAGUCUCAUGCAAUAAAAUCCAGAGGUCUGUUGAAUCCGCCUUUUCGAUUCAUGUACUGCCUAUGAUAAAAAGAGAAAAGUAUUUUUAAAAAAUUUGGACUCUUAUUUUAAAAAUAUAGUAAAACCAUACUUCAAAAUUCAAAC
This is a long non-coding RNA of Peromyscus eremicus (cactus mouse), 705 nucleotides long. RefSeq lists it as uncharacterized. Lineage: Eukaryota; Metazoa; Chordata; Mammalia; Rodentia; Cricetidae. The transcript has 3 exons. The record is from RefSeq and is a predicted model, not a curated record.